CAGCUCAUCUAUCGCAGGGAUUCUUAACCUUAAUAUGAGCCACCUUGUGCCAUUUUUUUCCUCAACGAUGCUUGGUGUAUGGGGCCAAGUUCUUUUCAACAUCUUCUUUGAGACGUCUUAACAUCAUGGGUUUCAAGAUACCUUGAAGUUUUUGUACCUAGCAACGUGAGAGACAUGAAUAAGCUUUUUCAGAUCACCAAACUCUUGCAUGAAGUUGCUCUCUGAAGGGAAGCGUUCGGGUUCUAGGAAAUUCAGCAGGCUGAAAAGCUCCUCCACAGUGUUUUGCAAAGGGGUCCCUGUUAGCAGCACUUUGUGUUCCUGAA
Molecule: long non-coding RNA, 323 nt
Organism: Hyla sarda
Lineage: Eukaryota; Metazoa; Chordata; Amphibia; Anura; Hylidae
Exons: 3
Source: RefSeq, a predicted model, not a curated record